This 1479-nucleotide long non-coding RNA is filed under the name Homo sapiens (human). RNAcentral describes it as "H19 imprinted maternally expressed transcript". The record is from RNAcentral. Lineage: Eukaryota; Metazoa; Chordata; Mammalia; Primates; Hominidae.
GGCUGAGAUAAUCUGCUAAUGUGGGUGCAGCAGACAUCCCGCGGUUUGUGGAAUCGAUAAAGGAUGGGGAUCAAUGGUGUUUGUGCACUGUGCGGUCUGUGCCCAAUUGCCUGCCUUGUGCUGUGGAAUCUGUACAUCUGGCCAACAUGUGCUUGUGUGAGCCUGACAGUGCAUUUUCCAGAGCCUCACCUCGGCUCUGCCCUGGAGGCUCUGUGCUGCUGGAAUCAGACUCAAGGACCUCAUCAGAGGACCAUGGCCCCGUAUCACCUGGGUCAGGCACUGAAGCUGGGACAGGAGAGCAGAGACUUCCAAAAUGAGGGAUCCCUGUGUUCUGAGGUGAUCAUGACUGGGACCCAAGGACUCAAGCGCAUGCUCCAGAGGGAAUCGUUUCCCACAAGGCCUUUGGCAGGAACAGGGAUCCUGGGAGCCUGCCAAGCAGAGCGCACAGUGUUCCUGGAGUCUCGCUGCCCAGAUGCCACGGAAUCAGUUGAAGGUCUCCAGCUGGGGUGGACGUGCCCACCAGCUGCCGAAGGCCAAGACGCCAGGUCCGGUGGACGUGACAAGCAGGACAUGACAUGGUCCGGUGUGACGGCGAGGACAGAGGAGGCGCGUCCGGCCUUCCUGAACACCUUAGGCUGGUGGGGCUGCGGCAAGAAGCGGGUCUGUUUCUUUACUUCCUCCACGGAGUCGGCACACUAUGGCUGCCCUCUGGGCUCCCAGAACCCACAACAUGAAAGAAAUGGUGCUACCCAGCUCAAGCCUGGGCCUUUGAAUCCGGACACAAAACCCUCUAGCUUGGAAAUGAAUAUGCUGCACUUUACAACCACUGCACUACCUGACUCAGGAAUCGGCUCUGGAAGGUGAAGCUAGAGGAACCAGACCUCAUCAGCCCAACAUCAAAGACACCAUCGGAACAGCAGCGCCCGCAGCACCCACCCCGCACCGGCGACUCCAUCUUCAUGGCCACCCCCUGCGGCGGACGGUUGACCACCAGCCACCACAUCAUCCCAGAGCUGAGCUCCUCCAGCGGGAUGACGCCGUCCCCACCACCUCCCUCUUCUUCUUUUUCAUCCUUCUGUCUCUUUGUUUCUGAGCUUUCCUGUCUUUCCUUUUUUCUGAGAGAUUCAAAGCCUCCACGACUCUGUUUCCCCCGUCCCUUCUGAAUUUAAUUUGCACUAAGUCAUUUGCACUGGUUGGAGUUGUGGAGACGGCCUUGAGUCUCAGUACGAGUGUGCGUGAGUGUGAGCCACCUUGGCAAGUGCCUGUGCAGGGCCCGGCCGCCCUCCAUCUGGGCCGGGUGACUGGGCGCCGGCUGUGUGCCCGAGGCCUCACCCUGCCCUCGCCUAGUCUGGAAGCUCCGACCGACAUCACGGAGCAGCCUUCAAGCAUUCCAUUACGCCCCAUCUCGCUCUGUGCCCCUCCCCACCAGGGCUUCAGCAGGAGCCCUGGACUCAUCAUCAAUAAACACUGUUACAGCAA